CAGCAGUCGCGAAAACUUCGCAAUGGGAGCAAUCCCGACGAGGGGAUUCCAAGUGCCAGCACUUAGUGUUGGCUGUUCUCCUGUCUAAAAAACAGGAGAAGUAAGGGCCGGGUAAGACGGGUGCCAGCCGCCGCGGUAAUACCCGCGGCCCGAGUGGUGGUCGAUAUUAUUGAGCCUAAAACGUCCGUAGCCGGUCUCGCAAAUCCCUGGGUAAAUCGGCCAGCUUAACUGUCCGAAUUCCGGGGAGACUGCGAGGCUUGGGACCGGGAGAGGUCAGAGGUACUUCCAGGGUAGGGGUAAAAUCCUGUAAUCCCGGAAGGACCACCGGUGGCGAAGGCGUCUGACUAGAACGGAUCCGACGGUGAGGGACGAAGCCCUGGGGCGCAAACGGGAUUAGAUACCCCGGUAGUCCAGGGUGUAAACGCUGCGGGCUUGGUGUUGGGGGUCCUUUGUGGACGCCCAGUGCCGGAGAGAAGUUGUU
Molecule: ribosomal RNA, 481 nt
Filed under: uncultured Methanomassiliicoccales archaeon
Lineage: Archaea; Methanobacteriati; Thermoplasmatota; Thermoplasmata; Methanomassiliicoccales
Description: bacterial SSU rRNA
Rfam family: Archaeal small subunit ribosomal RNA
Source: RNAcentral